Molecule: transfer RNA, 63 nt
Filed under: Provespa barthelemyi
Lineage: Eukaryota; Metazoa; Arthropoda; Insecta; Hymenoptera; Vespidae
Description: tRNA-Cys
Source: RNAcentral
AUUUUAAUAGUUUAAGGUAAAAUAUUAAAUUGCAAAUUUAAAGAUAUGUUAUAAUUUAAAAUU